This 660-nucleotide ribosomal RNA is filed under the name uncultured cyanobacterium. RNAcentral describes it as "bacterial SSU rRNA". It matches the Rfam family "Bacterial small subunit ribosomal RNA", at positions 768 to 1424 of the family's 1533-position model. The record is from RNAcentral. Lineage: Bacteria; Bacillati; Cyanobacteriota.
GCAAAAAGGGAUUAGAUACCCCUGUAGUCCUAGCCGUAAACGAUGGAGACUAGGCGUAGCCUGACUCGACCCAGGCUGUGCCGAAGCUAACGCGUUAAGUUUCCCGCCUGGGGAGUACGCACGCAAGUGUGAAACUCAAAGGAAUUGACGGGGGCCCGCACAAGCGGUGGAGUAUGUGGUUUAAUUCGAUGCAACGCGAAGAACCUUACCAGGGCUUGACAUGUCGCGAAUCUGUGGGAAACCAUGGAGUGCCUUCGGGAGCGCGAACACAGGUGGUGCAUGGCUGUCGUCAGCUCGUGUCGCGAGAUGUUGGGUUAAGUCCCGCAACGAGCGCAACCCUCGUUUUUAGUUGCCAGCGGGUAAAGCCGGGCACUCUAGAGAGACUGCCGGUGACAAACCGGAGGAAGGUGGGGAUGACGUCAAGUCAGCAUGCCCCUUAUGUCCUGGGCUACACACGUACUACAAUGGUUAAGACAAAGGGCAGCCAAAUCGCAAGAUCGAGCGAAUCCCAUCAAACUUAGCCUCAGUUCAGAUUGCAGGCUGCAACUCGCCUGCAUGAAGGAGGAAUCGCUAGUAAUCGCAGGUCAGCAUACUGCGGUGAAUACGUUCCCGGGCCUUGUACACACCGCCCGUCACACCAUGGGAGCUGGCUACGCCCGA